AAAACUGCUACAACUUGGCUGUCGAGGACAACCCUACAAGCGUCCUCCUCGCCGCCGGAGCUAUCUCGGUCUUCCUCUUCAGAUGUCUCCGACGUCGUUCAGGAUGAAUCCAAUUGAACCGAUCCCCUUCUCUUCUCCUUCGUUCCUUACUUAUGCCUUUUUUUUGGGGGGAACUCGAUGUGAAAGUGAGAUCGAGCGGGGAGGAGACAAGAAAAACCUAAAGAAGUUAUCAUUGGGUAGAUCGAAGGCGGUUGGCGUUUCUCCAUUGGAGGUUGGGGAACCACCCUCCGCAGCAGGUCAGCGCUCUACCAUCGCCGAGCUAUUUCUGAUUAAUUUUCGGAAGGGCGCUGAUAAUGUCACUUGGGAUCCAGAAGCCACCAUGAACUAAUCAAUCCAUAGUUGUAAGUCUUGUUCAUCUCCCAAUGCAAUAUAUGCCAAUUUUGUCACCGUUUUUGUCCUUCCCUUUCAUUUUGUGCGGAAGUAUUUUGAGCAUAAUGACUAUUCUCCUAUUUACUUCAUAAAAAUGUUAUGAGCAACAAAUUAGAAAUAAUUUUCAUAGAUAAUAGAUUUCUUCAUAUGGAAUAUUUUGUUCUACUCGUAUGAUGCAUAUGAUCAGCCUAGACCUCAAUGUGACCAGUUUACGUUGCCUAUCUGCCCUUACUAUGCCAAUCGACCACUUAGACCUCUCUCCAAGAAGUUUGAUCGACUCAUGUGGCUCAAUCUACUCACCCCACUAACUGGUCUAGUUGACAAACGCAUUUGACCUAAUAAAUGGAUCCAACUCAAGUUUAUAAUAUAUUUUUCAAAGGGUUGAACAACGUGAGGAUGAAAUCAAGAAGGAAUAAAUAUUUUUAUAACAGAACAAAGAAUAACUAGUCAUGAAUUUAGAAUCCCUAUUCUAUGGAAUCGGUAUUUGUAGGUCAUUUAGAAUAAUUGAAUUCAUCAAUCAAACAAGUGAGCCAAUUCUAAGCUUUUGUACAUUGAUCUUGGCAUGGACAAGUCUCAAACUUCAGCCAACUGGACUAACAAGUCACCACCUAUAGAAUGUUGUCUAGCAAUGGAGGACGACAUGGAUGGUCUGGAGCAGAACUCAGGAAAUGUAAAAUAUUGAUACUAUGAGUCAGUUUAAUAGAGAAUCUUGGAUGCCUAUGUUUUGUGGAGCAAUUUAGUUUUAUCACCAGAGAGGAACAAUAUUCUCAGUAUGUUCAUCUUAACUUAGCCAGCUGUCCCGGCAGAAUCUGUACACAUGAUUGAUGAUUCAUUUACGGGUUCAAGACAAAUGGUUGGUUUAGAUGGUUACUGAAGGAGAUAGGCCAGGCUCUAAAGAUUAGUUUUUUCAUGUAUAAUAGUUUUUUGUCGACCCAAUGUAGUGAGAUAAAACUUGGUGGUGGUGGUGGUUGUUGUAAUAGUUUUUUGAAAUGGUGAUUGGUUCCACCUCUGAAGCCAACCCCUUGUUUCUAAAUGUAUGAUUGAUCUCAUGUCAAGGGAAAGAAAGUGACAAUUUCAAGCCAUGACCAACAUCUGUUUGUUGGAACCAACCCUGCCCACGCCAUAUGAGAAAGUUGGUGGUGGACGUCACCAUUGCGGUCAGGAGAUGGUGGUGAUGAGGAGCGACGAGAUAAAGGCCUUCUACCGUUUGCUGAUUAUCUUACACAAACGGUAGCAGAUGAAGAACAAGCCUAAGCAGGAGAAGAAAGCAUGGAUUGGAUCAUGGUUAAAGAUGGCAUGACCAACACUCAUCUAGUUUCUUCUUGUUCAGCAUAAAUGGAGUCUCCUUUGAGCAUUAAGGGCCCCCUCUUUGUAGAUUGCCUGCAGCUGGAAAAGUAGAUGUGCUUCCAGAAUCUCCACCGACAGGGUAUAGCUGUUCUGUUCUUUAUGGAUAAUUCAAUGCAAAGUUAUUGGGCAGCAUGAAAGGGAAGACUAUAGAUCUUUGCAGAGGUCUGCUUCCUCUUCCCAUGAAUCCAAGAAAUUUGAGAUGCACAGAUAGUACAAGGAGGAGAUGCCAAUAUAGCUGACGGCAAAACACUUGAGCUAAUUGCCACAUUCCCAAUUGGUACAGAUGCAACUUUUACUACUAACACCGUCGAAGAUACCACAGAAGGG
Molecule: long non-coding RNA, 2103 nt
Organism: Zingiber officinale
Lineage: Eukaryota; Viridiplantae; Streptophyta; Magnoliopsida; Zingiberales; Zingiberaceae
Exons: 3
Source: RefSeq, a predicted model, not a curated record